Molecule: ribosomal RNA, 460 nt
Filed under: uncultured Geobacillus sp.
Lineage: Bacteria; Bacillati; Bacillota; Bacilli; Caryophanales; Anoxybacillaceae
Description: bacterial SSU rRNA
Rfam family: Bacterial small subunit ribosomal RNA
Source: RNAcentral
GCACAAGCGGUGAGCAUGUGGUUUAAUUCGAAGCAACGCGAAGAACCUUACCAGGUCUUGACAUCCCCUGACAACCCAAGAGAUUGGGCGUUCCCCUUCGGGGGACAGGGUGACAGGUGGUGCAUGGUUGUCGUCAGCUCGUGUCGUGAGAUGUUGGGUUUAAAGUCCCGCAACGAGCGCAACCCUCGCCUCUAGUUGCCAGCAUUCGGUUGGGCACUCUAGAGGGACUGCCGGCGACAAGUCGGAGGAAGUGGGGAUGACGUCAAAUCAUCAUGCCCCUUAUGACCUGGGCUACACACGUGCUACAAUGGGCGGUACAAAGGGCUGCGAACCCGCGAGGGGGAGCGAAUCCCAAAAAGCCGCUCUCAGUUCGGAUUGCAGGCUGCAACUCGCCUGCAUGAAGCCGGAAUCGCUAGUAAUCGCGGAUCAGCAUGCCGCGGUGAAUACGUUCCCGGGCCUU